Molecule: ribosomal RNA, 253 nt
Filed under: uncultured bacterium
Lineage: Bacteria
Description: partial 16S ribosomal RNA
Rfam family: Bacterial small subunit ribosomal RNA
Source: RNAcentral
UACGUAGGGGGCAAGCGUUGUCCGGAAUCAUUGGGCGUAAAGAGCGUGUAGGCGGCCCGAUAAGUCCGCUGUGAAAGUCCAGGGCUCAACCCUGGGAUGCCGGUGGAUACUGUCGGGCUCGAGUCCGGAAGAGGAGUGUGGAAUUCCUGGUGUAGCGGUGAAAUGCGCAGAUAUCAGGAAGAACACCCGUGGCGAAGGCGGCUCUCUGGGACGGUACUGACGCUGAGACGCGAAAGCGUGGGGAGCAAACAGG